This is a non-coding RNA of Trichocladium antarcticum, 85 nucleotides long. Lineage: Eukaryota; Fungi; Ascomycota; Sordariomycetes; Sordariales; Chaetomiaceae. The record is from the annotation of a GenBank genome assembly.
GCCCGGCUAGCUCAAUCGGUAGAGCGUGAGACUCUUAAGGAUCUCCGAAAUCUCAAGGUUGUGGGUUCGACCCCCACGUCGGGCU